GGUGGCUCAGUGGUAGAGCACUUGCCUGCUUGCAGGAGGCCCUGGGUUCAAUUCCUCAGCACCA
This 64-nucleotide transfer RNA is filed under the name Dipodomys ordii (Ord's kangaroo rat). It matches the Rfam family "tRNA". From Rfam's summary of the family: Transfer RNA (tRNA) molecules are approximately 80 nucleotides in length. Lineage: Eukaryota; Metazoa; Chordata; Mammalia; Rodentia; Heteromyidae. The record is from Rfam by way of RNAcentral.